GGAAGGAGAGCUGAGGGAGGGUGAGGGAGGCGGAGGGAGGGUGAGGAGGCGUGCGGGAGAGAGGAUAAGUACCGAGGGAGGCGUGCAGGAGAGAGGAUAAGGUGUGAGGGAGGCGGAGGGAGGGAGAGGAGGCGUUGGCUUUAGUACCGGGUGGAUUUCCCACCUAGUACUAAUGUGCCUUAGGUACUAAUGUCUACCCUUUAAUACCAGGUGGAGGCUCUACGGGGAGUCCUAGGAGACUAUUCGUUAGGCUCGGUACUAAUACUCACAUUAGUAUCGGGCUAAAAUGCAAUCGGUACUGAGUCUCAGAAAUAGAGGCCAUUUCUAUAAAUCCAGUACGUGACAAGUGACCACGACUCCGUCACCAUCGAAGCUUAUGAACCACAUGCAAGUCGUCGUACAUGAACUUCGACAGUAAACCUUCGAGAAAGCUUCUUAUGGAAUUUUGUGUGUGUUCUUACGGAAUUUUGUGUGGCUUUGUAAAUUUUGCCACCGCCAAGAUGGUCUUCGCAAAAUUGCCAUUCGUCUAGCGAACAUCUUGACUUCCUUGUCAUUUCC
RNAcentral lists this long non-coding RNA (558 nucleotides) under Setaria viridis. Its description in RNAcentral is "long non-coding RNA (SVIR_LNC006299)". Lineage: Eukaryota; Viridiplantae; Streptophyta; Magnoliopsida; Poales; Poaceae. The record is from RNAcentral.